Molecule: ribosomal RNA, 887 nt
Filed under: uncultured Acidobacteriota bacterium
Lineage: Bacteria; Pseudomonadati; Acidobacteriota
Description: bacterial SSU rRNA
Rfam family: Bacterial small subunit ribosomal RNA
Source: RNAcentral
CAAGUCGAACGAGGCGGAAGGGGGCAACUCCUUCCAGUCGAGUGGCGGACGGGUGAGUAACACGUGGGUAACCUGCCCGGAAGUGGGGAAUACCUCGGGGAAACUCGAGCUAAUACCGCAUGACAUCUUCGGGACGAAAGUCCUGGCGAUCAAAGCGGGGUCGCAAGAUCUCGCGCUACCGGAUGGGCCCGCGCCCGAUUAGCUAGUUGGCGAGGUAACGGCUCACCAAGGCUUCGAUCGGUAACCGGCCUGAGAGGGCGAUCGGUCACACCGGAACUGAGACACGGUCCGGACUCCUACGGGAGGCAGCAGUGGGGAAUCUUGCGCAAUGGGCGAAAGCCUGACGCAGCAACGCCGCGUGGAGGAUGAAGGCCCUUGGGUUGUAAACUCCUGUCGGCUGGGAAGAAAUCAUACGGUGCUCAUACCACCGUGUGUUGACUGUACCAGCAAAGGAAGCCCCGGCUAACUCUGUGCCAGCAGCCGCGGUAAUACAGAGGGGGCCAGCGUUAUUCGGAAUUAUUGGGCGUAAAGGGCGCGUAGGCGGCCAUGCGUGUCUUCCGUGAAAUCCCUCGGCUUAACUGAGGACGUGCGGAAGAAACUGCAAGGCUUGAGUCCGGGAGAGGGGGGUGGAAUUCCCAGUGUAGCGGUGAAAUGCGUAGAUAUUGGGAGGAACACCGGUGGCGAAGGCGGCCCCCUGGACCGGUACUGACGCUGAGGCGCGAAAGCGUGGGUAGCAAACGGGAUUAGAUACCCCGGUAGUCCACGCCGUAAACGAUGGGCACUUGGUGUCGCGGGUAUCGACCCCUGCGGUGCCGAAGCUAACGCAUUAAGUGCCCCGCCUGGGGAGUACGGUGCAAGGCUGAAACUCAAAGGAAUUGACGGGGGCC